RNAcentral lists this ribosomal RNA (95 nucleotides) under uncultured bacterium. Its description in RNAcentral is "partial 16S ribosomal RNA". It matches the Rfam family "Bacterial small subunit ribosomal RNA", at positions 1388 to 1482 of the family's 1533-position model. The record is from RNAcentral.
CACCGCCCGUCACGCCAUGGAAGUUGGUGUUGCCUGAAAAGGCUGAGCUAACCGCAAGGAGGCAAGUCUUAAUGGUGAUACCGAUGACUGGGGUG